Molecule: long non-coding RNA, 1354 nt
Organism: Pezoporus flaviventris
Lineage: Eukaryota; Metazoa; Chordata; Aves; Psittaciformes; Psittacidae
Exons: 2
Source: RefSeq, a predicted model, not a curated record
GGGCUGGUGAUUUUGACCGGCUGCCUAGUUGCAUGUAAAGCAGUUGGACCAAUUGUCCUCUGUAUCUUUGAAACCUGAAUUCAAGGCCAGGGCUGAACUGUAACCUUAAUUUACUGCUGAGAGAGGCUGCACAAUGCCAGAGAGAAAUGCAGUCCCCAAAUACCUUUGUAUUGCAGAUGUAUAAGUCCAUAACCAGAUGUCAUGACUUGAGUCUCCCUCAGUGGGAGUGAGAGGGAGCUCUGCAAUCCAACCAGAAAAAAACAUACGAAACGUAAAUGCAGCCAACUGGUCACUGAUUACAUCAAAGUGAGUUAGAGAGAUGCUGAUCAGAGAGUUCUGUCUAGAAAGCAUACUUCAAACAGCUAUUCGUUUCUUGUCUGAUCUCUAGUCACUUUCUAAAUCAUUAUAGUUUACAAAAAAAUUUCAAAGCUUCUUUUUGAAGUGUUAAUUGAAAUGUACAGGGCAACAUUUUCAGCAGUGAGUGGUUUGCAAAGUUUGAAACUGUAUCUGUCACCCUGUUUUUGCUUGGUGGCUUGUAAAAGGGCAGAUAAUUGACCACUGAAUUGAAAAAGAAAAGGAAAGAAGCAAAACUGAAAUGUGGUGGGAUUGCCAGAGCUGGGGUCAGUUCCUAGGUGACAUGAGAAAGUCACUUCAGUCUGGUGCAAGUACUGGAGGCUUUUUGGGGUGGUAAGUGCGAGAUCAGUUUAUAAGAAAUGAUAUUAGAAAGUAUGGUUAUCAAAGCUUUUGUUAAGUGUAAUGGCUUGUGGAAGGCUAACCCAUAUAAAAUAUUCCUUAAGGUAUUACUUAAUUAGAGCUUUAUGUUAUAUUCCUGAACUUGUGUCCUAAAUGUCUCACUGAAUCACUCUGGAGUUACUCAAAAGCCAGUUGUUUCAGCAAUUGACUGAUGCUGGGGAAAUGUGAAUUUUCAAUAUACCCAAUGCUGGUUUUUAAUAGGCAUAAUUUUAAUCAGAACUGCUCCUAAUUUCUUAGCUCACAAACUGGGAUCCUGAACCUAACUGGAUAAAAAUAAGUUAUUUCUAUAAGAAGAAGACCAGACUUUAAAGAUAAACCGUGAAAAAUCUUGUCUUAGUAAGUUAAAGCAAUCCACGGAUUUUUUCCUACUCUUUUUUUUUUCUUUUUUUCUUUUUUUGAGAUUGUAAUUGAAAAAGAAAAAGAAACUAAUUGCAACUGUUUGUGCAAGAUCCUGGGAGUACCCAGCUGACUGACCCAUCCACUUAUUUAUAAAUUAAAACUAAAGGAGCACAAGAUACUUUGAAAGUUAACAGUCUUUAAAUAUUGAGUAUUUUCUCUAUACAAUCAUAUUGUCUCUGUUUUCCAGCAGUUUUCUGAAAAA